This 468-nucleotide ribosomal RNA is filed under the name uncultured bacterium. Its description in RNAcentral is "partial 16S ribosomal RNA". It matches the Rfam family "Bacterial small subunit ribosomal RNA", at positions 28 to 507 of the family's 1533-position model. The record is from RNAcentral.
GACGAACGCUGGCGGCGUGCUUAACACAUGCAAGUCGAACGGAAAGGCCCUGCUUUUGUGGGGUGCUCGAGUGGCGAACGGGUGAGUAACACGUGAGUAACCUGCCCUUGACUUUGGGAUAACUUCAGGAAACUGGGGCUAAUACCGGAUAGGAGCUCCUGCUGCAUGGUGGGGGUUGGAAAGUUUCGGCGGUUGGGGAUGGACUCGCGGCUUAUCAGCUUGUUGGUGGGGUAGUGGCUUACCAAGGCUUUGACGGGUAGCCGGCCUGAGAGGGUGACCGGCCACAUUGGGACUGAGAUACGGCCCAGACUCCUACGGGAGGCAGCAGCGGGGAAUAUUGCACAAUGGGCGGAAGCCUGAUGCAGCAACGCCGCGUGCGGGAUGACGGCCUUCGGGUUGUAACCCGCUUUCGCCUGUGACGAAGCGUGAGUGACGGUAAUGGGUAAAGAAGCACCGGCUAACUACGUG